This 242-nucleotide long non-coding RNA is filed under the name Lathyrus oleraceus (garden pea). RNAcentral describes it as "Pisum sativum (pea) long non-coding RNA (PSAT_LNC012687)". Lineage: Eukaryota; Viridiplantae; Streptophyta; Magnoliopsida; Fabales; Fabaceae. The record is from RNAcentral.
UGUCAAAACAAGAUUUUAUUUUAUCAGACGUAAUAUCCCAAAAUUGACAUAGCUCGGAGUUUAAAACAUAUAAGCAAAUAAAACUAAAAGCUUAACAGAUAUAAGUUCAAGUCAAAAGAAGUUUUCAUCAUUAAAUAAAACCAGGGGAUGCAAAAAUGAUAAAACAAAAUAAAUUAAUAAAACAAGUUCUAAAUCCUAAGACUACGGUUUCUUCAUGAGCUUAUUGAUAGACUUCAGAUCAG